UGAGGAAUCUUGGGCAAUGGGCGAAAGCCUGACCCAGCGACGCCGCGUGCGGGAAGAAGCCCUUCGGGGCGUAAACCGCUUUUCUGGGGGAAGAAUAACGCGGGGAAGGAAUGCCCCGCUGAUGACGGUACCCCAGGAAUAAGGGACGGCUAACUACGUGCCAGCAGCCGCGGUAAGACGUAGGUCCCAAGCGUUGCCCGGAUUU
This 205-nucleotide ribosomal RNA is filed under the name uncultured Acetothermia bacterium. Its description in RNAcentral is "partial 16S ribosomal RNA". It matches the Rfam family "Bacterial small subunit ribosomal RNA", at positions 355 to 552 of the family's 1533-position model. The record is from RNAcentral. Lineage: Bacteria; Candidatus Bipolaricaulota.